UACGAAGGGGGCUAGCGUUGCUCGGAAUCACUGGGCGUAAAGCGCACGUAGGCGGCUUGUUAAGUCAGGGGUGAAAUCCUGGAGCUCAACUCCAGAACUGCCUUUGAUACUGGCUAGCUUGAGUUCGGGAGAGGUGAGUGGAACUGCGAGUGUAGAGGUGAAAUUCGUAGAUAUUCGCAAGAACACCAGUGGCGAAGGCGGCUCACUGGCCCGAUACUGACGCUGAGGUGCGAAAGCGUGGGGAGCAAACAGG
Molecule: ribosomal RNA, 253 nt
Filed under: uncultured bacterium
Lineage: Bacteria
Description: partial 16S ribosomal RNA
Rfam family: Bacterial small subunit ribosomal RNA
Source: RNAcentral